RNAcentral lists this ribosomal RNA (396 nucleotides) under uncultured bacterium. RNAcentral describes it as "partial 16S ribosomal RNA". It matches the Rfam family "Bacterial small subunit ribosomal RNA", at positions 523 to 918 of the family's 1533-position model. The record is from RNAcentral.
AUACGUAGGGUGCAAGCGUUAUCCGGAUUUACUGGGUGUAAAGGGAGUGUAGGCGGACUGGCAAGUCUGAUGUGAAAUACAUGGGCUCAACCGAUGGACUGCAUUUGAAACUGCCUGUCUUGAGUGAGGUAGAGGUAGGCGGAAUUCGUGGUGUAGCGGUGAAAUGCGUAGAUAUCAGGAGGAACACCGGUGGCGAAGGCGGCAUACUGGGGUUUUACAGACGAUGAGGCUCGAAAGAGUGGUGAGCAAAAAGGAGUAGAUGACCUGGUAGUCCACGCUGUAAACGAUGAUUAAUAGGUGUGGGGGGACAGACCCAUUAAGUGGCGCAGUUAACACAAUAAGUAAUCCACCUGGGGAGUACGGCCGCAAGGUUGAAACUCAAAUGAAUUGACGGGG